This 460-nucleotide ribosomal RNA is filed under the name uncultured bacterium. RNAcentral's name for it is "partial 16S ribosomal RNA". It matches the Rfam family "Bacterial small subunit ribosomal RNA", at positions 338 to 795 of the family's 1533-position model. The record is from RNAcentral.
CCUACGGGAGGCAGCAGUGAGGAAUAUUGGUCAAUGGGCGUAAGCCUGAACCAGCCAAGUCGCGUGAGGGAUGAAGGUUCUAUGGACCGUAAACCCCUUUUACAAGGGAAUAAAGUGUGGGACGUGUCCUAUUUUGUAUGUAUCUUAUGAAUAAGGAUCGGCUAACUCCGUGCCAGCAGCCGCGGUAAUACGGAGGAUCCGAGCGUUAUCCGGAUUUAUUGGGUUUAAAGGGUGCGUAGGCGGCCUUUUAAGUCAGCGGUGAAAGUCUGUGGCUUAACCAUGGAAUUGCCGUUGAAACUGGGCGGCUUGAGUAUGUUUGAGGCAGGCGGAAUGCGUGGUGUAGCGGUGAAAUGCUUAGAUAUCACGCAGAACCCCGAUGGCGAAGGCAGCCUGCCAAGCCAUGACUGACGCUGAUGCACGAAAGCGUGGGGAUCAAACAGGAUUAGAUACCCCUGUAGUC